This 483-nucleotide ribosomal RNA is filed under the name uncultured eukaryote. RNAcentral describes it as "SSU rRNA". It matches the Rfam family "Eukaryotic small subunit ribosomal RNA", at positions 65 to 549 of the family's 1831-position model. The record is from RNAcentral.
AUAAACAAUUCUAUACUAGUGAAACUCGCGAAUGGCUCAUUAAAUCAGUUAUAGUUUAUUUGAUAAUAUCUACUACUCGGACAACCGUGGUAAUUCUAGAGCUAAUACGUGCGUAAAAACCCGACUUACGAAGGGUUGUAUUUAUUAGAUACAAAACCAAUGCAGGGUAACCUGGUUUUUGGUGAUUCAUAAUAACUUCUCGGAUCGCAUGGCUCACGCCGGCGACGUUUCAUUCAAAUUUCUGCCCUAUCAACUUUCGAUGGUAAGGUAUUGGCUUACCAUGGUUACAACGGGUAACGGAGAAUUAGGGUUCGAUUCCGGAGAGGGAGCCUGAGAAACGGCUACCACUUCCAAGGAAGGCAGCAGGUGCGCAAAUUACCCAAUCCUGACACAGGGAGGUAGUGACAAAAAAUAACAAUACAGGACUUUUAAAGCCUUGUAAUUGGAAUGAGUACAAUUUAAACCCCUUAACGAGUAACAAUU